GACGAACGCUGGCGGCGUGCUUAACACAUGCAAGUCGAACGGAAAGGCCCUGCUUUUGUGGGGUGCUCGAGUGGCGAACGGGUGAGUAACACGUGAGUAACCUGCCCUUGACUUUGGGAUAACUUCAGGAAACUGGGGCUAAUACCGGAUAGGAGCUCCUGCCGCAUGGUGGGGGUUGGAAAGUUUCGGCGGUUGGGGAUGGACUCGCGGCUUAUCAGCUUGUUGGUGGGGUAGUGGCUUACCAAGGCUUUGACGGGUAGCCGGCCUGAGAGGGUGACCGGCCACAUUGGGGCUGAGAUACGGCCCAGACUCCUACGGGAGGCAGCAGUGGGGAAUAUUGCACAAUGGGCGGAAGCCUGAUGCAGCAACGCCGCGUGCGGGAUGACGGCCUUCGGGUUGUAAACCGCUUUCGCCUGUGACGAAGCGUGAGUGACGGUAAUGGGUAAAGAAGCACCGGCUAACUACGUG
RNAcentral lists this ribosomal RNA (468 nucleotides) under uncultured bacterium. RNAcentral's name for it is "partial 16S ribosomal RNA". It matches the Rfam family "Bacterial small subunit ribosomal RNA", at positions 28 to 507 of the family's 1533-position model. The record is from RNAcentral.